Molecule: long non-coding RNA, 872 nt
Filed under: Brachypodium distachyon (stiff brome)
Lineage: Eukaryota; Viridiplantae; Streptophyta; Magnoliopsida; Poales; Poaceae
Description: long non-coding RNA (BDIS_LNC005972)
Source: RNAcentral
UUAUCGUGUGGGUGCAUGCCGACGGCGAUGUUAGUGCCAAUGCAUGUUGUUAUCUACUCUUUCUCUUCUUUUCUUUUGUUUGAAUAUUUGUACGUGGCUUCUCUUUCUUUUUCUUUUGAGAGAGGACCUUUUUUUUUCUGUUUACUGCAGGGGGUAAACAGUGGGCUAGAGGGAUAUGCUGAAUGGCCCAGUCUUUUUUCUUUUUUUGAGAGAAUCGAAUGCAUGCUGGCCCAGUCAGGAUAACAGUUCCGGACUGCUGGCUCGCUAGGCGCAAAUUUUACUGAUUUGGUCCAACCAAAAGGGUGCGGGCCUUAAAAGGCAUGGGCUGCAACUGUUCAACAUUCAGCCCAUGGGCUGGCUCUCUCUCCAUCUUGACGAUUAGAGUAAAUUAAAACAAUCCACCACAUUAUGGGGUAGGGUUUCAAUUCGGUAUCAGUCUACGUUUUUUUUACUAAAAACCACCUGAUUGCACUAAAUGGCUGACUGUUAGCGAAUAACCCUGAAAUUAACAGCGAGGGCUCACGGUCAGGCCAGCGUGGCUGAGUGUGCCUUCUUGAGUAAAUUUCACAAAACCACUAAGAGUUAGGAUUUCACGGAGCCACACACUUCAGGAGCUUGCAUCAGUUUGCCACUAUUCUAGGGGCAAUAACUAUCUGUUUGCUCAAAUCUCGCGGAUUAGUGCAUUUGACAGCAGAACUGACUUGUUGGGGCCACUUGUAAGGUCCUAGGUGGCAUCCAUUUAUUCAUUUAGCCCCCUAUUAUUUCCAUUAAUUCUUUUCUCCCCUUCUUCUUCCACUACUCCGGCUGCCUGCAUCUCGUCUGAGCAUCUUGUCGGAGUCCGCGGUGGUUUCAGGACGCGCCCGUACCCGUGG